This 72-nucleotide transfer RNA is filed under the name Pangasianodon gigas (Mekong giant catfish). RNAcentral's name for it is "tRNA-Glu". It matches the Rfam family "tRNA". From Rfam's summary of the family: Transfer RNA (tRNA) molecules are approximately 80 nucleotides in length. Their secondary structure includes four short double-helical elements and three loops (D, anti-codon, and T loops). Further hydrogen bonds mediate the characteristic L-shaped molecular structure. tRNAs have two regions of fundamental functional importance: the anti-codon, which is responsible for specific mRNA codon recognition, and the 3' end, to which the tRNAs corresponding amino acid is attached (by aminoacyl-tRNA synthetases). tRNAs cope with the degeneracy of the genetic code in two manners: having more than one tRNA (with a specific anti-codon) for a particular amino acid; and 'wobble' base-pairing, i.e. permitting non-standard base-pairing at the 3rd anti-codon position. Lineage: Eukaryota; Metazoa; Chordata; Actinopteri; Siluriformes; Pangasiidae. The record is from RNAcentral.
UCCCUGGAGGACUGGUGGUUAGGCCACAGCGCUCUCACUGUUGCGGCCCGGGUUCGAUUCCUGACCAGGGAA